Non-coding RNA from Misgurnus anguillicaudatus (oriental weatherfish), 802 nucleotides. The record is from RefSeq and is a predicted model, not a curated record. Lineage: Eukaryota; Metazoa; Chordata; Actinopteri; Cypriniformes; Cobitidae.
AACAUUGUUUGAAUGUAAAAUUGUACAUUUCAAUAAUUAAAACAGAACUUCAAGUCUUAUUUAUUUUAAUUUUUGAUGACUGUCAAAGUGUUUAAAAGUGAACAGAGAUCAUUUACAGUAUAGACAGAAUCUACUCUGAUUGUUUUACUGUUAUAUUCAUCAUAAUCCUGUGUGUGUAAAAGGUUUGUGAAUGUGUGAACAUUGUUAAAGUCCCCCUGUUCUGUAGUUGUAGUUUUGUUAUCAUUUAAUUUAAGUGUAAAGAUUUUUUGUCUAUAGCUUAUGAAAUUUGAGUAUCAAAUAAGAAACUUGAUUUAUGAACUGCUAUUUGAUCUCACAGUUAUGUUUCAUUGUGGGCGAGCACAGUUAUUUAUUUUCUGUUUAUUCUGCACAUUCAGUUUGAUUCAUGAGUAUCAUUAUAGAGGAGUUUAAAAUGACUGAAAUACAGAUUAUCACUGUUCAUGUCUUUAUCAGCAUCAGUGUGUUUAUUUGUUGUUUAUUGAGACUCACAUUUUAGGAACUGCUCCCUGGUCUCAGGUUCAGGAAUAACUAUGUUGAAAAAAUAUUCAUUCAGAAUCAAAAUCCUCCAGUUUCUCUCUCAGAUGAGACACAGAUUUUCCUACAUCAUCAAAAGAGAUGAGAGAGCUGACAGUGAUGCUGAGUGAGUCUGAAGAUCCAGGAGGAACAGAGAGAGACUGAAAACUCUACACAAACACAAAGACAAACAACACAAACAUAAACUGAUGACACUGAAACAUUUCAUAGAAAAUAUAAUCUCAGUAAAACAUGCUCUUCACUUCCUAAA